RNAcentral lists this long non-coding RNA (582 nucleotides) under Physcomitrium patens. Its description in RNAcentral is "long non-coding RNA (PPAT_LNC005276)". Lineage: Eukaryota; Viridiplantae; Streptophyta; Bryopsida; Funariales; Funariaceae. The record is from RNAcentral.
AACAAAAACACUUACAGAUUCUUGUUAAACGCGAUGAUUGGGCGGCAAACAGGAAUCGAAGUCCAGAAUGUUCAUCAGAUGUGUGCCAGCCGAUCCAUCCCGGACACUUCUGAGGUAGCCACGAGGACACCCCCGGGCAUGGAGUUUUAAUAGCUGCCCCUGUUGCUUGAUAUGUCGAACACUAUGAACGUUACCCUAAUGAGAGAAUGUGGAGGAGCAGUUGAUGUCUAGCAAAACGGUAUCUGAUAGUUAGAGAGGUAGUUGUGUAUUGCAUGUCGUCACCGGGUAUCUGUGAGCAGUUCAGAAUCGCUAGUUGGACCUCUACAGUCCUCCUUCCUGACAACCACAUUCAGCACAGAUUCUGGAGACAGAGGACUCUCUGAAGCACGGUAGCAAACUUCUUGUAUCGCCUAAAGCUCAUUUGUCGUUGAUCCUGCAGAAAGACAACAGGAACGAUAUAAUGCAUUGCAAUUGUGGGUGUGACAUUUCGCAUUCAACAUAUUCCUCAAGAAUACCUGGGAUGAUAGAGUCACUCACACAAGCGGGCGGAACAUGGUAACCAAUCAUUCCUCUACUCGAUAG